This is a long non-coding RNA of Symphalangus syndactylus (siamang), 1971 nucleotides long. RefSeq lists it as uncharacterized. The record is from RefSeq and is a predicted model, not a curated record. Lineage: Eukaryota; Metazoa; Chordata; Mammalia; Primates; Hylobatidae.
UUGUCACCAGCUUCCUCCUGCACCAGGCGGUCUAGGAGCUAGAGACGGAGCCUGGGUGACCGAGCCAUGGGCACAACAUUGCAGGGCUGCUGCCUGACAGAGAUGUGACACGAAUCCAGGAGCAAUUUAAAACUUUCUGGCAGACACAUUUCAAAAAGUAAAAAAGAAACAGGUGGAGACCUCUGACAUCUGCCUUGCCCCAGACGGUGUCCUCCUGCCUCUGCAGCUCACCCUCAUGCCCACCCUGCCCUGGCAGCCACCAUCCUGCCCUGUAGACUCCUUUGUUGCCUGUCCUUGAGCUUCCCAGGAAUGGAGUCCUGCAGAGCAAGCCCAGGGUUAACAUUUAUUUUCUCAAGGAGUGCAUUCACCAGAGCAGAGCCAGUGACUGAAGAACCACAUCUGAGUGGAAGGGAGAGAGAGAGAGGCCUCCAGGGACACAGGCUGCUAGCUGGUGCUGCCAGGGCUCCACCUGACUCCCUGCAGAGGCCUGGCCACGAAGAAAACAGAUGGCUCUGAGGGGGUUGAGCAAUCCCUUUGGCAUCUCUGAGUGGUCAGUUUCUUUUCUAGACCCACGUUCUUGUAACACUCCCCUCUUAGUGUUUCUGCAGCCUUGAAUAUCAGUUCCUUUAGCAGAGUUCAGUGACCCGGGAGAGCGGCUCCUGUUCCUGCCCAGGAUCCUGCUAAGCUGACUCACUGGGUAUUGGAGCUGGAGCCCCAGGCCUCGUGCUGCAUCUUGUCAGAAUCCUGCUAGGUUAGUUUAGCCAGCACUCUCUUCCCUUGAUGUCUGCUUAGUAACUUUCCACCUGCUAACACCACCCCUCCACGCCAUGUUCCUUGGCUAUAAAUCCCACUUAUUCUUGUUGUAUUCAGGGUUGAGCUCUGUCUCUCUCUUACUGCGAUAGUGUUGACCCCCCACCGCGACAGUCUUGAAUCAAGUCUCCCUUACCAUUUUAAUAAGUGUCUACAGAAUAUUUUUUUUAACAGUAGAAGCCAGCCAGGCCAAAACUCUGCCCUACCAGAAAAUCCUGUUGCCAAGUAAGAGUAAGGGGCUUGGAGGACUAGAAGCAAACAAAGAAUGAGAAGAGUGCAGAUGGAGCGGGGGUGAUGGGAAAGGGACAGGUGUAGGGUAAGGUGGGGCUGUGGGGCUGUGGCAUGUGUUUCCCCCAAUAUUUAAUUAUGAAAAUAUUUAAACAUGCAUCAAAGUUAGAGUAAUUUUACAGCAAACACCUAUCUACCCGCUGCCAUGAUUCUGUCAUUAAUAUUAGACUUCUUUUUUUUCUCACCUAUCUACUGCUCUGUCCGUCUAAGCAUCCUCAAUCUGUCUUUUUAAAAAUGCAUUUUAUAGUAGGUUACAGACAUUAGUAUACUCCACUCCUAAACACGUGUUAGUAUGCAUAUCAUUAACUAGAGCUUAUCAUUUAUUUUUACCUUUUUCAUUUGUUACAAAAUGUACCUAUAGCGAAAUGCACAAAUCUGAAGCAUACAUGUAUGACUGAAUUUUGACAGAGUCACACUCUAUCAGAUAGAGAGCAUGAUCACCCCCAGAAAGUUCCCUCGUCCCCUUUUCCAGUCAAUUGGGGGCCUCACUUCUGAGACAGCCACUGCACCAAUGCUUCAUUCACUAUUGUUGAGUUUUGUUUAUUGCAGAAGUGCAUGCCAACGUAUUUUUACAUCAUGUAGACUUUUAUGCUUGCCAUUUUUCACUCAGCGUGAUGUUUUUGAGAUGUAUCCAUGUUAAACAGUAUAUUCAUACAUCAGUCUUUGAUUGCCACACAUGAGGCUCCUGACACUCGCAGCCCUGGAUUUCAGGCAGCAUUUGCUGUAGUGAGGAGGCAGCUCUCGAGCACUUGGAGUUUCUGCCGCUACUUCCCCUUUCUCCUUUCUAAUCUGGACCAGCUGCCCUGCCUUACCGCCACUCUCCCUGCUCCUUCUCUUUCAUCUCUCUCUUUCUCCUAAGAUUACUUUCACUUU